Ameiurus melas (black bullhead) is the source of this 78-nucleotide non-coding RNA. The record is from the annotation of a GenBank genome assembly. Lineage: Eukaryota; Metazoa; Chordata; Actinopteri; Siluriformes; Ictaluridae.
GUCAGGAUGGCCGAGCGGUCGUAAGUGUUAAGGUCGCAGUCUCCUCUGGGGGCGUGGGUUCAAAUCCCACUUCUGACA